Long non-coding RNA from Cygnus atratus (black swan), 2848 nucleotides. RefSeq lists it as uncharacterized. The transcript has 3 exons. Lineage: Eukaryota; Metazoa; Chordata; Aves; Anseriformes; Anatidae. The record is from RefSeq and is a predicted model, not a curated record.
AGGAGGAAAGGAAGGGCGGACAUCAAAGGCAACUUCUCUGCUCAGCAGAUGAGCAGAUCCUUCCUCACUUCAUAUUUUUUGCAGAUGAACUCGGGGCGGGGGGAGCGGGAUUAACCCUUCGCCUGCCGGGCAGCCGCGGUGCCCCCGCCGGUGACAGGGACGGGCUGAGGCCGGCGGCAGAGCGGGGCAGUUUGCAGCCGGGGGGUGGCAAGGGGAACGGCCAGGCUUUUUUUCCUUUUUAAAGGUCCGGGAUGACACGAAUAGCCCGAAUACUUUGCAGCGGAGCGGCAUCAUUUUUUAGCGCUGACAAGCCUCGUUGAGUCAUUGAAUGAGCGAGAAACGGGGAGAAAAGUUGCAGAAAGGGGACUUUGCAGGGCGAAACGCGGGACCCGUCGGCGAGGCAGACCACGCAGGAGAGCAAACCCUAGGAAAUCGCCGGGGCUGAGAAGCAAACAGGCAUUUUUCAUCGCUGUAGUGAAAUCUCGGCCGUGCCCUCGGACAUCUUCCCGUCCACGCUGCCCGCACGAGGCUUUCGCUCCCGUUACGCCCCACGUCCUACGGAAACCUGCUCUAGGAUAAUACACACCGGUCUGGAUCAAAAGCUCUCCAAAGGCCUGCACAAUUUCAGCAAAGGCCUGUUUUGAUGAAAACCAGAAGGAAGGGGCUGAAAAAGGCUGCCUUCGCCCGGCUCGCCUCCAGCCCGUAAGCAGCUCCGAAUAUGAUGGGGGCGAUGGGGAUGGGCUCGUGCCACCACCGUGCCACCAUCCCGGCUCCCCCAGCACCCCCCAGGCUUCGGCACCACCUUGGCUAUUGCCUUCUGAAAGUAAGCCUGUGCACAGCUUUUUGCAGGUUUGGCUGACGUAGUGCACCACUUUUUGGGGAAAACCCCCUAAAACAGCCCUUCUGUAGCCUCCAUGCAUCCAUAGGAUGCCAUGUUCCGGGAGGAAGAGUAGCACGACGCCAGCCUCUAACAUCUAUUCGGCGAGUGUCACCACGAAACACUGCACGGAUGCGGUCCCCAGCACAACACCACAUCCAGCAGGAGGGAUGAAGGCAGAAAAAAGCUCAUUUUAGCACAUGAGGCUUCUCGAAACCACAAGCCGAGUGACUACGGGCUCGAAGUCAGAGAGCAGGGUAAGGCAGAUUGUGCCUGCGCCAAGGACAUGGGGAGUGGCACCCCAGGUCCUGCUGCGAGGAUCUGGGGGACGUUUCUGGACGAUGGCUCCAGACCAGGAGAUGCAGCCAGGUAGCAGCGAAGCGUGCGGGCAGUCUGAUCAGUGGGACGAGCAGGUUUAAUAGCCAGCAACUCUAUUUAUUUCAAGUCCAACAGUGUCUGCAAGGGAGAUUUUGAAGCCUUGGCACACAGCAGUUGCCGCCCUUGUGGGCACUUGUGGGGACACAUCCCUGGGGGACAGAAGGAGCCCACGCCGUUCCCACCACAGCGGAGGCUGCAGGAGCCCAGCCAAGCCGCGGGGAGCACCCGUGGGGUCCUGGCACCAGGCGUCACCGCUGCUGAGGAAGGGACGGAGCCUUCCCAAAGCCCCUUUCCCACCUGGGUGCUCAUCACCGGGGGUCCCCACCACCGCCCAUCCACGCCUCGUUUUUGCACCCUUCCAUGGGGAGAGGACAACCACCUCCGUCAGACGAAGGGACAGAGCAAUGGAAAAGCAGCAGCCCCACAAAGCUGGCUGCUGAGCAGGAGAGCAGGGCCAGGAAGGCUGCUUUCACCUGUGGGGGGGCAGAGGGGGCGGCAAAAGCUGCGGCUCCUCUGCAUGUCACUGCUCGGCGCUGAUCACCGCCCUUUGCAACCCGCCGUGCCCGAGCAUGGAUCCCUCAGAAACUCAUUUCCUUGCUCUCAUCUCAUCUUGCUCCAGUAAAGGCUUUGCUGACUAGCUUGAAGGGAAGCCGACAUAACCCAAACCGCGGGCUGCUGGGGCAUGGCCAUGCCCCGAUCCCACUCCUGCAGGGGGCUUCUUCCAGCCACCCUACAAGGGACUUGGGGUGGCACCAGGCUGUGGGCCAGCAUCCGCUGCUCGUCCCACAUCUGCACACACACACGGGGCAAAGGCUAGUGCAAAAAACAUCCCAGCACAUCUGGGUUAUCAGUGAUGCUCCUGGCUGCGCCCGUGUCCCACGCCAAGGGCCCCAAAACCAUCGCUGCCGUGGGUGAAAGCAGGGGGGUGCGGGAACGGGGCACCCGCAGGCUGCGCGUGGGGAAACUGAGGCACGGAGCAGCGCUGUGAGUCGCUUUUUUAGGUAAAUUUUUGAGGGAAAAAAAAAACAAAAAACAAACCUAUGACUACAGCGAGCAUUUCUGAUGGCAAACGGCAGGAGCGCAGGGCAGCUCUGCGCAGAGCCCCGAUGCCAAGCCGGUCGCAGCAUCCCUCCCCAGCCCUUCGCAGACAUUCAAGCUGGGAAUCCUGCUAAUGAAAGGAAAACAGAGAGACGCUGCGGAGCGGAGGCCCAGGGUGUGGUAACUCUAGAAGGCAGCGAGGAGGCAUGAAUGAACCCUUUCACUGGGGUCCAGGGAAGCCGGUGGCACAUGGGCCGGAGGAAUGCGAGCGCCCGGCGCACCGAGGCGCGCGCCGCGGGCCGGGGAGAGGCGGCCGUCGUUAAUCAGCGGGAUUAAUUCGGGGCCGGGGCCGCGGCGAGGAGCGGGACGCUGCGGAUCAGCAGCUCGGGGAGGGGAGCAGGAGGCCUGCUUCCCAAAGGCUGACAAGCUGUCCUUAUUUUUUCCUGUAAUUAUGUCUCUGAGGGAUCCCUAACAUUUACAUUUUUGUGCGAGCUGUAUAGUUUAUUCACGGGCCCGCUUCGCGAAGGGCUCCGCUAAUAAAUGGGCGUAUUGAGG